AUCCAGCCGACGAGUCUCAAAUAGGACGAAACGCGCAUUCUGGAU
RNAcentral lists this non-coding RNA (45 nucleotides) under Schistosoma japonicum. Lineage: Eukaryota; Metazoa; Platyhelminthes; Trematoda; Strigeidida; Schistosomatidae. RNAcentral also lists the same sequence under 1 other name. The record is from RNAcentral.